Molecule: ribosomal RNA, 100 nt
Filed under: Colwellia sp. 39_35_sub15_T18
Lineage: Bacteria; Pseudomonadati; Pseudomonadota; Gammaproteobacteria; Alteromonadales; Colwelliaceae
Source: RNAcentral
GCUGUGGCCCCACCUGACUCCAUUCCGAACUCAGAAGUGAAACGCAGUAGCGCCGAUGGUAGUGUGGGAGUUCCCAUGUGAGAGUAGGACAUUGCUAGGU